This 465-nucleotide ribosomal RNA is filed under the name Vreelandella stevensii. Its description in RNAcentral is "partial 16S ribosomal RNA". It matches the Rfam family "Bacterial small subunit ribosomal RNA", at positions 338 to 795 of the family's 1533-position model. Lineage: Bacteria; Pseudomonadati; Pseudomonadota; Gammaproteobacteria; Oceanospirillales; Halomonadaceae. The record is from RNAcentral.
CCUACGGGGAGCAGCAGUGGGGAAUAUUGGACAAUGGGCGAAAGCCUGAUCCAGCCAUGCCGCGUGUGUGAAGAAGGCCUUCGGGUUGUAAAGCACUUUCAGUGGGGAAGAAAGCCUUGGGGCUAAUACCCUCGAGGAAGGACAUCACCCACAGAAGAAGCACCGGCUAACUCCGUGCCAGCAGCCGCGGUAAUACGGAGGGUGCGAGCGUUAAUCGGAAUUACUGGGCGUAAAGCGCGCGUAGGCGGUCUGAUAAGCCGGUUGUGAAAGCCCCGGGCUCAACCUGGGAACGGCAUCCGGAACUGUCAGGCUAGAGUGCAGGAGAGGAAGGUAGAAUUCCCGGUGUAGCGGUGAAAUGCGUAGAGAUUGGGAGGAAUACCAGUGGCGAAGGCGGCCUUCUGGACUGACACUGACGCUGAGGUGCGAAAGCGUGGGUAGCAAACAGGAUUAGAUACCCGGGUAGUC